UGGUGGAGUGAUUUGUCUGGUUAAUUCCGUUAACGAACGAGACCUCGUCCUGCUAAAUAGUCCGCGUUAUGCUCGUCAUAGCGUUGGUUUCUACUUCUUAGAGGGACUAUCGGUGUCAUUUUAGCCGAUGGAAGUUCGAGGCAAUAACA
RNAcentral lists this ribosomal RNA (149 nucleotides) under uncultured eukaryote. RNAcentral's name for it is "partial 18S ribosomal RNA". It matches the Rfam family "Eukaryotic small subunit ribosomal RNA", at positions 1299 to 1458 of the family's 1831-position model. The record is from RNAcentral.